Manduca sexta (tobacco hornworm) is the source of this 382-nucleotide long non-coding RNA. RefSeq lists it as uncharacterized. The transcript is spliced from 3 exons. The record is from RefSeq and is a predicted model, not a curated record. NCBI's taxonomy places the organism in Eukaryota, Metazoa, Arthropoda, Insecta, Lepidoptera, Sphingidae.
CCAGAUAGGCGUAAAAUUUAUUUCCUUUUGAAUAAAUAAAUCAUUCCGUUUCGUUACUCACAUUAUGUUGUGUUUUUCUUAUGCAUUAUUUCUAAAUUACAAUCUUCAUACAGUAUCAGUUUAUAGGAGUAUCAAAUAACUUAAAUAAAUAUGUGGUACUGAAUAAUAAAUAGAUGUUGUAUCCAGAAUUAAUAAUUGAUAUUCAAAUGUUUCGCUCCAAACUGUAGUGUGUUUUUCCCGCGGAUUUGCCUACAAUCUUCCAUGGAAAACUCUUGAUGCUUCGUUUCUGGAAUAAAAGAAGAUAAUAUAUUCAGGAGAUGGUCUUUUUGUGGGUCAAAUGUUAAAAUAAAUAUCGAAACACAAAAUAUAAAUAUAAAUAAAU